This 287-nucleotide ribosomal RNA is filed under the name uncultured gamma proteobacterium SUR-ATT-25. RNAcentral's name for it is "partial 16S ribosomal RNA". The record is from RNAcentral. Lineage: Bacteria; Pseudomonadati; Pseudomonadota; Gammaproteobacteria.
GGUUACCUUGUUACGACUUCACCCCAGUCAUGAAACACAAAGUGGUAAUCGUCCUCCCGAAGGUUAGACUAACUACUUCUUUUGCAUCCCACUCCCAUGGUGUGACGGGCGGUGUGUACAAGGCCCGGGAACGUAUUCACCGCAGUAUUCUGACCUGCGAUUACUAGCGAUUCCGACUUCAUGGAGUCGAGUUGCAGACUCCAAUCCGGACUACGACAUUCUUUAAGGGGUCCGCUCCACAUCACUGUCUCGCUUCCCUCUGUAAAUGCCAUUGUACCACGUGUGUU